This 329-nucleotide unclassified non-coding RNA is filed under the name soil metagenome. Its description in RNAcentral is "partial contains 5.8S ribosomal RNA, internal transcribed spacer 2, and large subunit ribosomal RNA". The stretch from base 1 to 120 matches the Rfam family "5.8S ribosomal RNA", at positions 35 to 154 of the family's 154-position model. The record is from RNAcentral.
GAUGAAGAACGUAGCGAAAUGCGAUAAGUAAUGUGAAUUGCAGAAUUCAGUGAAUCAUCGAAUCUUUGAACGCACAUUGCGCCCCUUGGUAUUCCGAGGGGCAUGCCUGUUCGAGCGUCACUAUAACCCCUCAAGCUCAGCUUGGUGUUGGGGCCUGCUGCACUGGCAGCCCUUAAAAUCAGUGGCGGCGCCAUCUGGCUCUAAGCGUAGUAAUUCUUCUCGCUAUGGAGUCCUGGUGGAUGCUUGCCAUCAACCCCCAAUUUUUCUAUGGUUGACCUCGGAUCAGGUAGGGAUACCCGCUGAACUUAAGCAUAUCAAUAAGCGGAGGA